UACGUAGGGUGCAAGCGUUAAUCGGAAUUACUGGGCGUAAAGCGUGCGCAGGCGGUGAUGUAAGACAGGUGUGAAAUCCCCGGGCUUAACCUGGGAACUGCAUUUGUGACUGCAUCGCUGGAGUGCGGCAGAGGGGGAUGGAAUUCCGCGUGUAGCAGUGAAAUGCGUAGAUAUGCGGAGGAACACCGAUGGCGAAGGCAAUCCCCUGGGCCUGCACUGACGCUCAUGCACGAAAGCUAGGGGAGCGAAUGGG
RNAcentral lists this ribosomal RNA (253 nucleotides) under uncultured bacterium. Its description in RNAcentral is "partial 16S ribosomal RNA". It matches the Rfam family "Bacterial small subunit ribosomal RNA", at positions 524 to 776 of the family's 1533-position model. The record is from RNAcentral.